Microtus oregoni (creeping vole) is the source of this 277-nucleotide long non-coding RNA. RefSeq lists it as uncharacterized. The record is from RefSeq and is a predicted model, not a curated record. The transcript has 3 exons. Lineage: Eukaryota; Metazoa; Chordata; Mammalia; Rodentia; Cricetidae.
GGCCAGCCUGGUCGACAGCACAAGUUCCAGGGCAGCUACACAGAGAAAUCCUGUCUCAAAGAACAAAACAAAACAAACGAAUGAAUUAAAAAGUGACUUUGAAAAACUGCGCAGCUAAGAGAUACAGGAACACUGGCCUCGGGAAUGGUGCUGCCCACAGUGGGCUGGCCCCUUCACCAGUUCGUGGUGGAGACAACUCCCAGCCCAAGGCAUGCCCACCACCUAUCUGAUCCAGGUAAGAACAACUAUCAUCUCUAUUGCGUCGAUAAAGAGACAA